Molecule: ribosomal RNA, 397 nt
Filed under: uncultured bacterium
Lineage: Bacteria
Description: bacterial SSU rRNA
Rfam family: Bacterial small subunit ribosomal RNA
Source: RNAcentral
GACGAACGCUGGCGGCGUGCUUAACACAUGCAAGUCGAGCGGUAAGGCCCUUUCGGGGGUACACGAGCGGCGAACGGGUGAGUAACACGUGGGUGACCUGCCCUCAGCUCUGGGAUAAGCCUGGGAAACUGGGUCUAAUACUGGAUAUGACUCCACGGUGCAUGUCGUGGGGUGGAAAGCCUUGUGCGGCUGAGGAUGGGCCCGCGGCCUAUCAGCUUGUUGGUGGGGNGAUGGCCUACCAAGGCGACGACGGGUAGCCGGCCUGAGAGGGCGACCGGCCACACUGGGACUGUGACACGGCCCAGACUCCUACGGGAGGCAGCAGUGGGGAAUCUUGCGCAAUGGGCGAAAGCCUGACGCAGCGACGCCGCGUGAGGGAUGACGGCCUCGGUUGUAA